This 459-nucleotide ribosomal RNA is filed under the name uncultured bacterium. RNAcentral describes it as "partial 16S ribosomal RNA". It matches the Rfam family "Bacterial small subunit ribosomal RNA", at positions 338 to 795 of the family's 1533-position model. The record is from RNAcentral.
CCUACGGGAGGCAGCAGUGAGGAAUAUUGGUCAAUGGGCGCGAGCCUGAACCAGCCAAGUCGCGUGAGGGAAGACGGUCCUAUGGAUUGUAAACCUCUUUUGUCGGGGAGCAAAAGACGCCACGCGUGGCGUUCCGAGAGUACACGAAGAAAAAGCAUCGGCUAACUCCGUGCGAGCAGCCGCGGUAAUACGGAGGAUGCGAGCGUUAUCCGGAUUUAUGGGGUUUAAAGGGUGCGAGGGCGGAAGAGCAAGUCAGCGGUAAAAGUGAGAGGCCCAACCUCUUCGAGCCGUUGAAACUGGUUUUCUUGAGUGAGAGAGAAGUAUGCGGAAUGCGUGGUGUAGCGGUGAAAUGCAUAGAUAUCACGCAGAACUCCGAUUGCGAAGGCAGCAUACCGGCGCUCAACUGACGCUCAUGCACGAAAGUGUGGGUAGCGAACAGGAUUAGAUACCCCGGUAGUC